Molecule: transfer RNA, 73 nt
Filed under: Diaphorina citri (Asian citrus psyllid)
Lineage: Eukaryota; Metazoa; Arthropoda; Insecta; Hemiptera; Psyllidae
Rfam family: tRNA
About the family: Transfer RNA (tRNA) molecules are approximately 80 nucleotides in length. Their secondary structure includes four short double-helical elements and three loops (D, anti-codon, and T loops).
Source: Rfam by way of RNAcentral
ACCUCUGUGGUCGAAUGGGUAAGAGCUCGGACUCCAAACCUGGAGGACCUGGGUUCGAAUCCCGACCGAGGCG